RNAcentral lists this long non-coding RNA (799 nucleotides) under Strigops habroptila (Kakapo). RNAcentral describes it as "lncRNA (ENSSHBG00005008686.1)". The record is from RNAcentral. Lineage: Eukaryota; Metazoa; Chordata; Aves; Psittaciformes; Psittacidae.
CAGGAUCACACACUCUUUUAUACAUGUCAGAUCCAGGUCUUUGAACAACCUUUUUUUGUAAAUAAUGAGAAAGAAAAAGAAAAAAAAAAAAAAUAGGAAAAAAGAAAAAAAAAAGGAAAAAAAAACCAACAACAAAAAAAUCCCCCGAAAGCUCCUCACCAAAUUCAAGCGUGUACAUUCGUACUCUUGGUUGUUGUUUGAGUUUUGAGUUUUAUUGUUUUGUAUGUAAAUAUGUGGACCCAGGAACUGUUAUUAAUGAGCAAAAAGUUACCGUUCAGGGCAGUGAUUCUGUUUAAUAAUCAGACAAAAUUCACUUUUUGUUUUCUUGAGAUAAGUUUAACAUGACUCUUGAUUUCUUGUGCCCAGCACGAAGGCCUUGUUUCUAAAACUAGUUUGCUUGUGUUUUACUACCUUGUUAGUAUUCCACAUAAGAUUGUCUUGAAUGGGAAAACACUUAACUCUUUACCAAACCAAAGGUUGCUGUUUUAUUUCGAAGCAUCUCGUGUUCAUUCCAGUGAAGCAGAGGCUGCACUUUCUUUCUGGUGACACGAAGGUCAGUGAUGCCAAGCUGUUGGUGACAGUCUGCUCAGAGCUGUCCCUCUCUUCUGUUACUCUCUUUCGGGCUUGUUUUUUAACCCAGUCUGGUCUUGAUCUGCCCUUUACAUCAGCCUUGCUGUGGCGUGGGUCUCUGAGCCGGACUCGAUCGCAGUCCGUCUGCCCCAGUGGACGCCUGAUCGAGACGCUGGUGUUCUUUAAUCUUACAUUUACCUACCUUGCUAGGGAAAGGAAAAAAACAAAA